Molecule: ribosomal RNA, 872 nt
Filed under: 'Plectranthus scutellarioides' phytoplasma
Lineage: Bacteria; Bacillati; Mycoplasmatota; Mollicutes; Acholeplasmatales; Acholeplasmataceae
Description: bacterial SSU rRNA
Rfam family: Bacterial small subunit ribosomal RNA
Source: RNAcentral
ACCGAGCAACGCCGCGUGAAUGACGAAGUACUUCGGUAUGUAAAGUUCUUUUAUCAAGGAAGAAAAGCAAAUGGCGAACCAUUUGUUUGCCGGUACUUGAUGAAUAAGCCCCGGCUAAUUAUGUGCCAGCAGCCGCGGUAAGACAUAAGGGGCAAGUGUUAUCCGGAAUUAUUGGGCGUAAAGGGUGCGUAGGCGGUCUAGUAAGUCAGUGGUGUAAUGGCAACGCUUAACGUUGUCCGGCUAUUGAAACUGCUAAACUUGAGUUAGAUAGAGGCGAGUGGAAUUCCAUGUGUAGCGGUAAAAUGCGUAAAUAUAUGGAGGAACACCAGAGGCGUAGGCGGCUCGCUGGGUCUUAACUGACGCUGAGGCACGAAAGCGUGGGGAGCAAACAGGAUUAGAUACCCUGGUAGUCCACGCCGUAAACGAUGAGUACUAAGUGUCGGGUUAAACCGGUACUGAAGUUAACACAUUAAGUACUCCGCCUGAGUAGUACGUACGCAAAGGUAUGAAACUUAAAGGAAUUGACGGGACUCCGCACAAGCGGUGGAUCAUGUUGUUUAAUUCGAAGAUACCCGAAAAACCUUACCAGGUCUUGACAUGUUUUUGCAAAAUGAUAGUAAUAUCGUGGAGGUUACCAGAAACACAGGUGGUGCAUGGUUGUCGUCAGCUCGUGUCGUGAGAUGUUAGGUUAAGUCCUAAAACGAGCGAAACCCUUAUCGUUAGUUGCCAGCACGUUAUGGUGGGGACUUUAACGAGACUGCCAAUGAUAAAUUGGAGGAAGGUGAGGAUCACGUCAAAUCAGCAUGCCCCUUAUGACCUGGCUACAACGUGAUACAAUGGCUGUACAAAGUAGCUGAAAGUUCUCCCCUUUC